This 510-nucleotide ribosomal RNA is filed under the name Triticum aestivum (bread wheat). RNAcentral's name for it is "partial small subunit ribosomal RNA". The record is from RNAcentral. Lineage: Eukaryota; Viridiplantae; Streptophyta; Magnoliopsida; Poales; Poaceae.
AUGGUGAAAAUGAAUGGGGGGAAAGAUAAAAUUGAAUGGACCCUCACUGCUGAUAAGAGAUUCUCCGUCAAAUCUUUAUACAAGGAACUGAUUACAUCUGGGAUUAAAUUUCCACAGAAAUAUCUGUGGAAAAUCAAAGUCCCUGCCAAAAUAAAAGUUUUCUUGUGGCUAGUGAAUAAAAAAAGCAUCUUAACUAGGGAUGUUUUACUCAAAAAAGGGUGGAAAGGAGGGAAAGAAUGUGUUCUUUGUGGACAAAAUGAAUCAAUUGAUCACCUGUUGUUCGACUGUUCUGCGACAUCCCUGAUGUGGAGCUUGGUCAGAUGUGUUUGUGGCUUGAAAUCUAGUCCUUUAAAUGUAAAAGAUUGUUUUGGGGGGUGGAUAAACAAAUUCAACAAGGAAGACAAGAAAAUGGUGAUGAUUGGUGUUUAUUCUGGGCUAUUUGGAAAAGCAGGAAUGCAAUUGUCUUUGAGAAGAAAAGGAUUAAUGAUCCUUUGCAGAUUAUCAAACUAA